UGGGGAAUUUUCCGCAAUGGGCGAAAGCCUGACGGAGCAAUACCGCGUGAGGGAGGAAGGCUUUUGGGUUGUAAACCUCUUUUGUUAAGGAAGAAGCAAGUGACGGUACUUAACGAAUCAGCAUCGGCUAACUCCGUGCCAGCAGCCGCGGUAAUACGGAGGAUGCAAGCGUUAUCCGGAAUGAUUGGGCGUAAAGCGUCUGCAGGUGGCUAUGCAAGUCUGCUGUUAAAGAGUGGAGCUCAACUCCAUAGGGGCAGUGGAAACUGCGUAACUAGAGUACGUUCGGGGUAGAGGGAAUUCCUGGUGUAGCGGUGAAAUACGUAGAUAUCAGGAAGAACACCGGUGGCGAAAGCGCUCUACUAGGCCGUAACUGACACUGAGAGACGAAAGCUAAGGGAGCGAAUGGGAUUAGAUACCCCCGUAGUCC
Molecule: ribosomal RNA, 427 nt
Filed under: uncultured prokaryote
Description: bacterial SSU rRNA
Rfam family: Bacterial small subunit ribosomal RNA
Source: RNAcentral